AAAUUAUUUAUUAAUAAUUUAGAUCUUAAUUUAUCCUUGCCCUUCCUCUACGAUAAAGAGGAAGGGAACAGGUAACCAAUUGAUUGUGUAAGCACUGUGUGCCUGGAAGUUUGUCUUUGCUAUGUUAUGUUCACAGAGGCCUACAAGUAGAUCUUGUUACAGAGGAGCCAAUCGAAGCUUAGAGAAGCUAACUAAUGUAAGGUCGCAGAAUUAGGUUGAUACAGACCCAGGAUUCAAAGUCAGUUCUUUUUGCUUUUCAGAAUGAUUUUCUCUGCCCAACAUCAUGCUGUUGUAGCCCUUGCAUCUCAGAGUCAUUAACCUCCAAUCUCUUUUUUUGUUGGUGCUCUUCAGAAUGAAUGUGUCCAGUAUACCAGGUACCUCGAAUAACGUGACUCUGCUUGGGCAUAGAAAACCAGCUGCUGGUGGGAUUGCUGGGUGAAUAUUGUGGAGCGGCUAGUGGGAGAGAGUUGGGGAAGAAGACCAGAAGGAGACAUGGCAUAGCCAGGAGAAGAGCAGAGGUGGCCUUGGCCAAUGGAUCCUAACCUUGGUGUAGCAUCCUUUGAGACUCUGAUGGAAGUUAUAGACCCUGUCCCUAGAAAAUUUGCUAAAAAUUUCAGGAAUUUGCAGACCUGCUGAAGUUGCUGAGACUGACGGAUUCUAUGCUGAGCCCUUGGCCUUAGUCCUUGAUGCUCUGAAGUAUGGUCCAUGGACCAGCAGCAUCAGCAAUCUCUAAAAGCUUUUACAAGAGAAGGAUCUCAGGCUCCACCCAAGACCUAUCAAAUUAGAAUCUACAUUUUACAAGAUCCCUAGAUGAUGCCCAAGCACCGUACAGUGUGAGAAACAUUGGUCUAGUCAGGCAAUGGUCAAGUAGGAAGGAGGGUGUGAGGUUGACGUGUCAGAGGGUAAAGGUAGGGAAGAUUUUGCUUAAGCAGGAAGAAUGGGGAGAGAACAGGCUCUCAGAUUUAUCGGGAAAUGGGAAGAUGGUUGGAGGCGGGUCAUGGAGCUGUUAACUGUGGACAUUUCUCAUCUUCAGUCAUGGUCAGUGGGUAGGAGGCACUUGUUUGAGUUGUCCGAUUCUUCUUAUCAACCACCUACACUUACUGAGUUUCAAAUGACUAGAGUAGUUUCCAUAUAAUAGCCAUAAAAAAGUCAUAGUUUAAAAGUAGGCAGUAUUUGAGAAAUGAUGAAACUGUUUAUUUGACUGUUAGUCACUUAAACUACUCAAUUUGAGUUUGUUUUGAUCAUCUUAAAUUAGUAUUGCUAAUAAAUGGCUUCCACAUCCUAUGGAAAAGUGGUUUGAACUAUCUGCUUUUAAUUAAGCGCUUUGGAUGGAUGUCCACACAUUCCUUGCAGUUUCUGAUGUAUCCUCACGAUCCCUGGGACAGAGUUGCAGGAAGUAGCUGAGCAAGGUGUCUUACACACCGUAGCCAUUCCGAGCAUUUUUGAACAGGAGUGGAAGGUCCCUGUAGGGGCUGGCCCUGGCAAGGCAGCAUCAGGACUCUUAAUUAGAACUUGGUCCAGCCCACCCAAAAUGAGAACCUGGGUCAUAUAGACGGUGACCGUACGACAGUUUUGCUGUAAAUGCACUUAUUCACUUUUAUUUGUUGGCCUUUUAAGCAUGAGAAGCCUUAGCAAAUAGUCAUUAACUGCUUUAGCUUAAAGAUCCCUUUGUGAUACGACAGUGCACAAGUCUAUAGCGUAUAAGUGGUACCAGUGUUCUAUUGGGAGCACUUCUUGGGUGGGAAGAGGACUUGAGACCCAUAAAAUAGUAUAACUAAGCAAGAUAAAGUAUCUCUGGUUAAACUGUUUCUAGGUGCAAUGGAUUCUGGGGAAGACACAGCGGGGUUUUCAAUAAGAAAGUAAUUUAGGCAUUUGGCACACAUUUGUUGAGAACGGGCUCUGCUGCAGGCCUUGUGUGGGUGAUGGACACACAGUCAUGACAAGGACAUGUUCCCUACCCUUAAGGAAGCCCAGUCAAGUGGAGUGGGUACUAUAGGAGGGGAGGGGUAGAGUGCCGUAAAUGCGUAUUGGGAAGUGCCCUUACCUCAGUGUGUUGGGACCGUGAAGGCUUCCUGGAAGGAAGUAAAGGAAGUGAGGAGAGAGACGUAUAAGCUCAUAUGUGAAGUGGUGAGGGGCCGGAAGGGUGCCCAGGCAGAAGAAUGGGAUGUGCCAAGGCCCAGAAGUAAGAGAUAGCAUGGUGCUGUCAGACAACAGGAAACGUGCCGACACCGUUAGAGUGUAUAUUGCCUGCGGAUCUGGAAUAAAACCUUAAAGCCUGAAGAGGCCUUUUAGGUCAACUAGUCUCAGCCCCCCCAAGAUGUGUUAACAGAUGAUCCCUCAUUGUCUCUUCAGCACCUCCUGUGUUGGAAGGCUGCCCAGAGAAGUCCUUCCACAGGGAGAAAUGAAAUCCGUCUUUUCUGCUUCUCGUCACUGGUCCUGGUUCUGUCCUUUCUUGUCACCAGGACAACCUGAAGCAUCUCCAGUGUUUAACAGUCACUAGUCAGUGACCCCAACACCCUUUUGGGGACUGCAUUGCCAAAGGAGAUGAGGCAAAGUCCAACUGGACGAUAGCGUACAGCCUGCCUGUUCCCUAAAGCAGACUGUUGAUGGAAUACAGACAUGGGGUGAACGGAUCCACUUUGCAGACCACCACUCUGGAUGGGUCCUCCUGCUUCUCUUAUCUAAACCUGGAGCUCCCUUCUCCUUUAUUUUAACAAUGUGAACACUUUUGGUUGUUGACAUCAAACUCUGAGUUAUAAGAACGCCUGUCAAAGGCCUGUUGGAAAGUUCCUUGAAACCAGCUGGAUCGGACUGGUCCUUUAGUCCAGCUGUAGAUGCCCAUUGUGGGCAGACUGAGGAAGCGACCCUCUUACCAGGAUGUGCUUGAACAAGGCCCAGGACAUUAAAAAAAAAAACAAAAACAAAAAACUUGCAAUUACACUUUUCUACCACUAGAUGAUAUGCACGUAUAAGCAAGAUGAAAACCCUCCUACCUUUCCUUUCUGCAUCAGUGGCCACAGUGAUGAUAGGGGCCAUCAAAGUUUACCACGUGCCUAUGGGCCAAAUCCAGUUUACCACCUCUCUUUAUAAAUAAAGUUUUAUUAGAACACAGCCAUGCUCAUUUGUCUGGGACUGAUUUUGCUCCACAAUGACAGAGAUAAAGAAAGUGAUUAAGGCCACCAUGAAUCCUGGCACAUACGUUAAAUGACUGUAGCAGACAUACAUGACAAAGGCUGUAAGUACUGAUGUACACCAUGCUUGAUACUCUUGGGUUUGUGUAAACAAGAUGAAUGACAGUUGGCCUCAAAGUUGUGGGGAACCUAGAAAGAAGAAAUUAAAAUUAUUGCAAGGUCAGGCCAGCCUUCUGUGUGACCCACAGGUAGAAAUGUAGCUGGAAUUGAGUAGCUGCCCGUGAGCACUUUUUCCCGACAUGACACUUAUCCAGAACAUGUUGUGAGAAACUCUUUUGACACAAUAAUUCAUAAGGCUGACGAUGACUCAUCAAAUGGAAACAGUGCUUAAUGUGUGAUUGAAACAUCCGUGGUCAAGUGGAGAGACACAGGAAGAAGGCAGUCAAAGGAAGUCUUCUUAAUGUCCUAGUUUUCCCCCAAUCAAAGGGGGUCUUUGCUCCUUUAGGGCCGGGUAUACUUGGGCCCUCAGGAUACCUGCUGGAGA
This is a non-coding RNA of Kogia breviceps (pygmy sperm whale), 3675 nucleotides long. NCBI's taxonomy places the organism in Eukaryota, Metazoa, Chordata, Mammalia, Artiodactyla, Physeteridae. The record is from RefSeq and is a predicted model, not a curated record.